This 360-nucleotide unclassified non-coding RNA is filed under the name uncultured Ascomycota. RNAcentral describes it as "sequence contains ITS2". The stretch from base 1 to 154 matches the Rfam family "5.8S ribosomal RNA". The record is from RNAcentral. Lineage: Eukaryota; Fungi; Ascomycota.
AACUUUCAGCAAUGGAUCACUUGGUUCUGGCAUCGAUGAAGAACGCAGCGAAAUGCGAUACGUAAUGUGAAUUGCAGAAUUCAGCGAAUCAUCGAAUCUUUGAACGCACAUUGCGCCUCCGGGUAUUCCUGGAGGCAUGCUUGUUCGAGCGUCGUUAAAACCCAUAAGGCUUAGCCUUGCGAUGAGCCGCCGAUCGAUUUCGGUUGGUGGCUUCAAACUGAUUGGCGUCUGAAGUUUAGCCCAAGCACAGCACAAUGUGAUGAAAGCUAGACGGAAUGCAGCCUGUUUUUAACUAUGUAGUUCGACCUCGGAUCAAGCAAGAUUACCCGCUGAACUUAAGCAUAUCAAUAAGCGGAGGCU